UACCUAUAUAUCCAUAGAGCAUUGAGAUGACGUGAGAGAGUGACUUUAAAUAAGACGAUACAUGUGAGAUAAUCAGAUAAACAUUAAACUAGUAACAACUAUAUUAUUUAAGAAAAAUUAAGUUUUGUCAGUGAUUUAACACAACAAUGAAACUUGUUAGCUAUUUUAUAAAAUAAUAUUUUACCCACCGUAAUAAAUAUUGUCGUUCGUGGUUGACUACUGUGAUUGUUGAACUUUGAAGGAGAUUUGUCAUGUUCAAGCCCCCGUACGUAUGAGUGGAAUUGUUUUGAAAAUAGUGUAAAGUGGUAUACUGUAUGAUCUCAUCUAAAAGAAUUGUAAGAAUUUUAUGGAGUGUUAACAAGAAAAUUGUACGACUUAACAUUGCUAAAAUUUGUGACAUACAUGACAAUUUGAGUAAAGAAAUUUUAGAGGCAUGAAAUAAUGAAUAAAUAGCAAAAGCAUUGAAAAUGGUCAUUUGAAUAUGUUUGCUUGAUGAGAUGGCAACUAAAAAAAGGGGCAUUACCAUUUAUAUAUCCU
Molecule: long non-coding RNA, 537 nt
Organism: Rhopalosiphum padi (bird cherry-oat aphid)
Lineage: Eukaryota; Metazoa; Arthropoda; Insecta; Hemiptera; Aphididae
Exons: 3
Source: RefSeq, a predicted model, not a curated record